CAUUUGAAUUCUUGGAUACGAAAUGCUGUAGCAAAAAUCAGUGCACGCUAGAAUUUCCAUUGAAUAUCUGUAGAAAUAACCUUAACAAAAUAAUAUACAAUGCACUGCUAACACAGUAGGACAUGGUACUGACUUAUAAAAAUGUUUAAUAUAUU
This is a long non-coding RNA of Octopus sinensis (East Asian common octopus), 155 nucleotides long. RefSeq lists it as uncharacterized. NCBI's taxonomy places the organism in Eukaryota, Metazoa, Mollusca, Cephalopoda, Octopoda, Octopodidae. The transcript has 3 exons. The record is from RefSeq and is a predicted model, not a curated record.